GUUACGGAAAAUAACCAAUGAGAACUCGCCCUUUUGGGGGCGUUUCCGUCGGUUCCGUGGGUUAACUCCUAGGUUCCAUAACGUUUAGCUCAGAGCAGAGCAGUAUCCUGGCUGUUGAUACAUGACCAGCUACACUUAAUUACUUAUUUGGUUACAUCUUUCCCCACGGGGAUUCGAAUCAAUUUUCUUCCCGAGAUCUUCGGGAUAGCUCCCAACAGCUACCAUUUUCACUAGUCUGUCUGGGCAGGCUCAGUUCACUCUUGUGUAGAGCAGGAGAAAUGGAUGUUUUCUGACAGCUGCUUUGUAACUCAUCUCUAAGUUUUUCCUGGUACUUAUCGGGUUCAACUGGCCAACGAGAUUUACAUCGUCGCCGAGUUCAUUUUACCAGUAUCGACAAUUUCCACCAUGGAUCUUUGCUCCUAGACUACAUGUAGUUCGUCGAGGUUCAGGACGUCGAACAUUUCAGCUUAUCUGAAGCAGUACAUUGACAGUCGUCAAAAUCAAUGUUGCCACGUUUUUUUCUAUACUUUCUUACUUGGUAGAUUAGCUCUCUUUUCCUAAGGGAAGGGCUCUCAAUUGACUGAAGGGAAGGGCUCUCAAUUGACUUUUUCCGUCGAUAAGUCUCCGCAGCGUGUUUGAAAGACAUUGAAGUUUGAUAUCUCAUUAUUUAUCUCAUAUAUGUCAAAUAAAAAGUUCAUUCUAUUUUUUAUUCAAGCAAAACGGAAUACGUUGUUUGUAUGAAUUAAUAAGUGUAAGGAAUAUUUACAUUGAUACUUUGGUACUGUGUUCAAUUUAUUGACCAGUCAGGAUUUUCUUCACUUAUAAUUACAUACAUCUUUACUUUGUAAAAUGUGAUACCAGUUCAAUUGUUAGAUUAUAAAUUGAAUUCACUGAACUGUAA
Molecule: long non-coding RNA, 901 nt
Organism: Strongylocentrotus purpuratus (purple sea urchin)
Lineage: Eukaryota; Metazoa; Echinodermata; Echinoidea; Camarodonta; Strongylocentrotidae
Exons: 2
Source: RefSeq, a predicted model, not a curated record